AUUGAACGCUGGCGGCAGGCCUAACACAUGCACGUCGAGCGGAGCGGCGGGCGGGUGAGUAAUGCCUAGGAAUCUGCCUGGUAGUGGGGGAUCACGUCCGGAAACGGGCGCUAAUCCCGCAUACUAUCAGAUGAGCCUCGGUCGGAUUCGAUGGGUUGUGGGGUAAAGGCCUACCACGGCGACGAUCCGGAACUGGUCUGAGAGGAUGAUCAGUCACACUGUAACUGAGACACGGUCCAGACUCCUACGGUAGGCAGCAGUGGGGAAUAUUGGACAAUGGGCGAAAGCCUGAUCCAGCCAUGCCGCGUGUGUGAAGAAGGUCUUCGGAUUGUAAAGCACUUUAAGUUGGGAGGCGUUACCAACAGAAUAAGCACCGGCUAACUUCGUGCCAGCCGCCGCGGUAAUUC
This 407-nucleotide ribosomal RNA is filed under the name uncultured bacterium. Its description in RNAcentral is "partial 16S ribosomal RNA". It matches the Rfam family "Bacterial small subunit ribosomal RNA", at positions 30 to 526 of the family's 1533-position model. The record is from RNAcentral.